CAACAUUUUGAGCAACAUGUGGCCCAGGAAAGAAGAUUUGAUUGGAUUCCGCCAAAAUGCACUUUUUUCCACUCCCAAACCCGGGGAUUUCCCGCAGACGACGGAGAUAGAAGUCACGGACGGUUCACGACAUGAGAGCAAGACACAUACUUCUUAAAAUUGAAACAAGACAGAAAAAAGCCAAGGUCCAUCACAGCAAUCUGCCCUUCACGUUGUCGCUUAGAAGAAAGGAGGUUGUGAUGGACAAGCCUCCUGUGAGCCAGAUGAUAAAGCAUUGGCCAGCACUCUUUGUUGAAAAUCAGGUCUCCCAGGAAUUCAGCAGAGUGGUAGGGAAAAACCUGAAACAGGAAUUCUGAGUCUCUGGAUCGUCUUUGCCCUAAACUUGUUGAAAUCAUCAGGUCAAAGAGAGGUCUAAAGGGACAACUUCUGGAUGGUCUGUUGCGCCAAACAAAGACAUCGGACACUGCUGACAUCAGAUGCCUUGUCCUGAGAGGGCUUCCAAUACUCUUUGAUGACAACUCAGCUGAUUUCUUCAAGACUUGCUUUGUCACUAAUGACGAGGGCGUAUACAGACACAUUGGAACAGGAAUCUUCUGCUUCACUGAGGAAGAUAUUGCACCGCAUCCUCUGACUCCAUCUUCUUGGAGGGGACUCCAAGUGUGUGUGAGAGUGAGAGUGACUGUGGGAGACGGGGAUAGAGCAAUUGUAUUGUGUACCUAGCUGUUUGCAGGCUGGUAUUGUGGGGAUGCUAAAAAGGAAAGUAUUAACACUGACAAAUCAGCUGUAAGGUGUGAAUGUGAGUGAGUGUGUCUGAGUGAAUGUGAGUGAGAUGGGGAGAGAGCAAUUGUAUUGUGUACCCAGGUGUUUGCAGGGUGGUAUAUUAUGGUGGAUGUUAAUGUUUAUAAUAAUACCUCAGUGUUUGUGUUUGUGUGUACACCUAUCCAGUGUUUGAGAGUGGUACUUUUUGACUGCCUUGUCAAUGCCCAUGUUCAUUUUUUGCAUAAAGGUGCAUUUUGUGUGUGUGUGUGUGUGUGGGGUCUGGCCCAUUUAGCCUUUUGCCACUUUGGGAAACGUCUAGAU
Alosa sapidissima (American shad) is the source of this 1080-nucleotide long non-coding RNA. RefSeq lists it as uncharacterized. The transcript has 5 exons. The record is from RefSeq and is a predicted model, not a curated record. NCBI's taxonomy places the organism in Eukaryota, Metazoa, Chordata, Actinopteri, Clupeiformes, Clupeidae.